This 555-nucleotide ribosomal RNA is filed under the name Streptomyces koyangensis. RNAcentral describes it as "bacterial SSU rRNA". It matches the Rfam family "Bacterial small subunit ribosomal RNA", at positions 429 to 994 of the family's 1533-position model. The record is from RNAcentral. Lineage: Bacteria; Bacillati; Actinomycetota; Actinomycetes; Kitasatosporales; Streptomycetaceae.
ACCUCUUUCAGCAGGGAAGAAGCGAAAGUGACGGUACCUGCAGAAGAAGCGCCGGCUAACUACGUGCCAGCAGCCGCGGUAAUACGUAGGGCGCAAGCGUUGUCCGGAAUUAUUGGGCGUAAAGAGCUCGUAGGCGGCUUGUCACGUCGGUUGUGAAAGCCCGGGGCUUAACCCCGGGUCUGCAGUCGAUACGGGCAGGCUAGAGUUCGGUAGGGGAGAUCGGAAUUCCUGGUGUAGCGGUGAAAUGCGCAGAUAUCAGGAGGAACACCGGUGGCGAAGGCGGAUCUCUGGGCCGAUACUGACGCUGAGGAGCGAAAGCGUGGGGAGCGAACAGGAUUAGAUACCCUGGUAGUCCACGCCGUAAACGGUGGGCACUAGGUGUGGGCAACAUUCCACGUUGUCCGUGCCGCAGCUAACGCAUUAAGUGCCCCGCCUGGGGAGUACGGCCGCAAGGCUAAAACUCAAAGGAAUUGACGGGGGCCCGCACAAGCGGCGGAGCAUGUGGCUUAAUUCGACGCAACGCGAAGAACCUUACCAAGGCUUGACAUACACCGG